This is a long non-coding RNA of Tupaia belangeri chinensis (Chinese tree shrew), 307 nucleotides long. RefSeq lists it as uncharacterized. Lineage: Eukaryota; Metazoa; Chordata; Mammalia; Scandentia; Tupaiidae. The transcript has 3 exons. The record is from RefSeq and is a predicted model, not a curated record.
UACAGAUGCUCUUGCUCUUGAUAAACUUUCCUUAAUUGAUGUUGGAAUGGUCUUAUAAGGCGUUUGCUGCUGUGCACUGGGAUUUAUCCAGCUAACACUAAUCUGUGAAUAUUGUAGCAAGUAUCUACAUUUGGGACCUCUCUUCUUUCUACUUUCCAACUUUCGCUCAUUAUGAAAUCUUCAGACUCAGUAGAGGAAACAAUGAUGGCAAGGACAACAUGUGGCGGCCCACAGGAACAUAAUCAUGUUAACUCCUGACUCUGCAAAAACUUAACACGUGGCAUUGUUAUUAGCAUUUUCUAAGAAA